This 72-nucleotide transfer RNA is filed under the name Camelus bactrianus (Bactrian camel). It matches the Rfam family "tRNA". Rfam says of the family: Transfer RNA (tRNA) molecules are approximately 80 nucleotides in length. Their secondary structure includes four short double-helical elements and three loops (D, anti-codon, and T loops). Lineage: Eukaryota; Metazoa; Chordata; Mammalia; Artiodactyla; Camelidae. RNAcentral also lists the same sequence under 1 other name. The record is from Rfam by way of RNAcentral.
GAGGGUACGGCUCACUGGUAGAGCAAGUGCUUAGCAUGCAAGAGGUCCUGGGUUCAAUUCCCAGUAUCUCCA